RNAcentral lists this ribosomal RNA (571 nucleotides) under Beauveria bassiana. Its description in RNAcentral is "eukaryotic LSU rRNA". The stretch from base 207 to 360 matches the Rfam family "5.8S ribosomal RNA". The record is from RNAcentral. Lineage: Eukaryota; Fungi; Ascomycota; Sordariomycetes; Hypocreales; Cordycipitaceae.
GUCGUAACAAGGUCUCCGUUGGUGAACCAGCGGAGGGAUCAUUACCGAGUUUUCAACUCCCUAACCCUUCUGUGAACCUACCUAUCGUUGCUUCGGCGGACUCGCCCCAGCCCGGACGCGGACUGGACCAGCGGCCCGCCGGGGACCUCAAACUCUUGUAUUCCAGCAUCUUCUGAAUACGCCGCAAGGCAAAACAAAUGAAUCAAAACUUUCAACAACGGAUCUCUUGGCUCUGGCAUCGAUGAAGAACGCAGCGAAACGCGAUAAGUAAUGUGAAUUGCAGAAUCCAGUGAAUCAUCGAGUCUUUGAACGCACAUUGCGCCCGCCAGCAUUCUGGCGGGCAUGCCUGUUCGAGCGUCAUUUCAACCCUCGACCUCCCCUUGGGGAGGUCGGCGUUGGGGACCGGCAGCACACCGCCGGCCCUGAAAUGGAGUGGCGGCCCGUCCGCGGCGACCUCUGCGCAGUAAUACAGCUCGCACCGGAACCCCGACGCGGCCACGCCGUAAAACACCCAACUUCUGAACGUUGACCUCGAAUCAGGUAGGACUACCCGCUGAACUUAAGCAUAUCA